UGCGGCUCCUGCAGCUUUCUGCCUCGGGGCACCCGAACUGAAAACAGCGAUCGCCCGCUUCCCUGUCAGCAGCAGUGGCGGAGCGCGCGUUUCUGAGAGCGAGGAGAAGAAGGGGCUCCCCUUAACUCCAAGGCACGCCUUUGUAACCAGGUCCGGUUACUUCAACCAACGCUGCACGCAACAAAACAAACUAUCGAAGCCUCCCAGCAGACACAGUGACUUUAACGAGGGCUCUUACAGGCAAUCCAUUGGAUUCAGCCUCUGGAAACUUGCAACACGUUGCUCCUUUCUCCAUCCAACCGAACGCACGAAAUAAAGCAGAAAAUGAUCACCGGGCAGAUCACAGUGUGGGAUUCAAAGAGCACUGCUUCCCUGCCGUAGCUGAAGUGAGCCAGUUGGCCAGAUUUGUCAUUGAGAGCUUUAAUCUGCUUUGGACUGGAAGGGCUCAGCAGGGACUUUGUUCAGGUUUUUGGCUGAAAGUAUCUAAAAAUCCACUGAAGUUCUAUUUUCGAGCAUAAAUCCUCUCUUGGACCUCACCUCAAGAAACACACAGAAAGCUUCAAUUCAAGUCGUCCCAGCGCCAGGGACAGGACAAAAGGCGUUCGCAAUCCAAGUGACAAGAGGUGAACUCUGCAGUCAGAGCAAUCUACAGAAUUGGCUACAGGUAUUUGUACACAGGUUUGCAUCAGAUGCUGAAGUGUGAGGGCACUGUGAAUAUUCUGGGAAAGAAGAGGAGGGGAAAGGGAAAGAAACGUGUGAUGGGUUUACUUCUGCUUUGAUUCGGCUACAUUCAGUCCUUCUUACUUCUUAGCAUUUGAACCCAAAAGUAAAUGUGACUUAGAGAUGAAUGACUUUCCACCACUGUUAAGAAAUCCCAUGAUGAUAUUUAUCAUAUGAUCACAUCAUGAUGUGUGAUCCCCAGAUGUGUUAAAAUCGGAAUAACUUUGUGCUCUUUGGAACUAGAUUUCCUUUGCCAGGUGGGUGUGAGCAGCCGAGAAGCCACAGCAGAGAGAAGCCAGGACUGAACGCACCUCCUGGGGUGAAGGAAGGCACGAGCUGCACCUGAACACCUUCUUACUCUGUGUCACGUGUUGCUUACAUCUCCUCACAGCCUGUCUCCUGCUAAAACUUUUCCCCUUCUGUGGGGACCCAAAAUUAUUACUCUGUUUUGUUUCAUGCUGUCCUCCCCCGCUGUCACAGAAUAUCCUGAGUUGGAAGGGACCCUCAAAGACCAGACUCCAACUCCCAGCUCCAUGCAGGAGGGAACAGGCCAGAAAUGAAGACAAAUCUUGCUGAGCUCCCCUGCUGUAUGAGCUGUGCUCUAAGAUGAUAAAUACACCUUGUUAAAGAGAGAGAAGAAAGGCCACAUGGCAAUUUCAGAAAAUGGAAGUAGGUUCAAAAGCAGCAUCCCGUGAGAGCUCCCCCCAGUCUCCUUUCUGAUGGAGGGAGGUGCCCAGCAGCCCCACGCUCUGUAUUUGGCUGUCAAUGCUUUUCUCCACCCUACCGUGUCAUACAACAGCACCAUGAGUCACGGAUGUACACACAGUACUGUAUGUGCUUUGUCAUCACGUUAAUUGCAGGUAUUUUAUGACGGGACACCAGCAGAUGUCAGUUUAAUCUCAAAAAAGAACUCUGCAUAGAUGAUUUAUCAGCCUUUGCGUCAGUGAGUUUCCACCAAAGUAACAACUUGAAGCUGGGAAUCAGAAGUCAGCUUUUUCCUGCCUGGAAAUCAAAAGGGUUGCACACACAAUUUUUUUUGGUGGUCAUUUUGCAUAUAUGAAUUUGUCAAGGCAAUGCAGUAUGAACAUUUAAUACAAGAAGAAUACAGUCAGUCAUUUUGUAAUUGCAAUUGUCAGUCAAUAUCCUGUCCCACACAACAGCUAACAUUUAAGCCAUUCAUAGGUUUGCUUUUCAGAACACAAAUAUUUUAAGGUAGGAACAGGUAAGCUUGAUAAGGUUGGGAAACAAAAACAAAGCAACAGUGCCAUCUAGAAGUGCAGUGCUGAAGACAGGAAAUACUUUGGAAGAUUUAAGUUCAAAGUAACGAACCAAACCAACCCAAACCUCCAAAACAAUCCUUCCUACAUCAUUCACUGCUCCAAGCACGGGCUGGGGAAGGCGUCCCUCCAAGUCCCAGGGCAUGAACUUCCAGAGGGGAUCAGUGCUGAUAAAAGACAAAGUACUUGCACUCAUAACAUCAGACGGGCCUUAAUCAAAGAGCAGCUUCUGCCCAGGGCAAUGCUGGCUGCCUCACAACACAGACACUGAAUUUUAAUUAAACUGAUAGAGGAAACUCAGGGCUGGGGUUUGAGGGCUGCCAUGAAGCCAGGUACCUUCAGUGCUCACUGCUCUGCGGUGCACAUUUGGGCUUUAAUAACAUCAGAUAUCCCCAGAUAAGUUCUGUGCAUGGCCCAGGGAGAAAAGGAACGGAGAGCCACAAAAGCACCCUUGGCUUCAAAAACUUUCAUAAGAGAUACUUCAUGACUUUGUGAUUCUACCAGCAUGGGAACUGUAGGGAAACAAGGCAAGAAGCCCCCUCAUGUGACAGAUAAGAGAAGUGAUGUCUUCAAGUCAGCUCUCAGACACGUUAUCUUGCAUAAAUCUUAUUUCUCAAUUCCUAUUUUCUUCCAGUGUCUUUUUCACUUCUCCUGGUACUGGAAGCCAAGGGGAUGAAAAUGUUCCUUCUCUUCCAAGCUUGCACCCUCCUCACUGUACAUGCUGGGUUAGCAUGACUGCUAAGGGAAAAGAUUUGUUCCCUUCUCUGCAGUUGGUAAUGUGCUGGGUGCCGUUCCUGGGAAGGGCUGGAACAUUCAUGGGUUUGUUACAGGAAACAGAGAAGCAGCACGGCUACUUGGAAACUGAAACGUUCCUCUGGGACUGGAAUGGGUAAUUACAGCACUGCUAAAUCCACCCAAAGCCAAUACGAGGACUUUAACGUCCUGACUUACGUUAAUGAAUUGCUUCCAUCAAUUCUACAUCAUUAAUUGAAAUUUAAUAAUUUAAAAUUAAUUAUGAAGAACAUAAUAAAGAAUUUUACAUUAA
Tympanuchus pallidicinctus (lesser prairie-chicken) is the source of this 3042-nucleotide long non-coding RNA. RefSeq lists it as uncharacterized. The record is from RefSeq and is a predicted model, not a curated record. The transcript is spliced from 2 exons. Lineage: Eukaryota; Metazoa; Chordata; Aves; Galliformes; Phasianidae.